RNAcentral lists this unclassified non-coding RNA (367 nucleotides) under Hevea brasiliensis (rubber tree). Lineage: Eukaryota; Viridiplantae; Streptophyta; Magnoliopsida; Malpighiales; Euphorbiaceae. The record is from RNAcentral.
UUAGGGGGUGGGGGUGAAGGGGGGGUUUACAUACAACCGAGUCUCCGUUUGUUUUUUAUGAUUGAAUCUCAGAGGCAUUCUUAUCAUUUGGUAGAUCCAAGUCCAUGGCCUAUUUCGGGUUCACUCGGAACUUUGGCAACCACCGUAGGAGGUGUGAUGUACAUGCACUCAUUUCAAGGGGGUGCAACACUUCUCAGUUUGGGCCUCAUAUUUAUCCUAUAUACCAUGUUUGUAUGGUGGCGCGAUGUUCUACGUGAGUCCACGUUGGAAGGACAUCAUACCAAAGUCGUACAAUUAGGACUUCGAUAUGGUUUUAUUCUGUUCAUCGUAUCGGAGGUUAUGUUCUUUUUUGCUUUUUUUUGGGCUU